Molecule: ribosomal RNA, 481 nt
Filed under: uncultured bacterium
Lineage: Bacteria
Description: partial 16S ribosomal RNA
Rfam family: Bacterial small subunit ribosomal RNA
Source: RNAcentral
GAUGAACGCUGGCGGCGUGCCUAACACAUGCAAGUCGAACGGAGAUUACGGACGGAAGUUUUCGGAUGGAAGACUGUAAUUCUUAGUGGCGGACGGGUGAGUAACGCGUGGGCAACCUGCCCUAUACAGGGGGAUAGCAGCUGGAAACGGCUGGUAAGACCGCAUAAGUCGGCGAGACCGCAUGGUUUUGCCGGGAAAUGAGCAAUCAGGUAUAGGAUGGGCCCGCGUCCGAUUAGCCAGUUGGCAGGGUAAAAGCCUACCAAAGCAACGAUCGGUAGCCGGACUGAGAGGUCGGACGGCCACAUUGGGACUGAGACACGGCCCAAACUCCUACGGGAGGCAGCAGUGGGGGAUAUUGCACAAUGGAGGAAACUCAGAUGCAGCGACGCCGCGUGAGUGAAGAAGUAUUUCGGUAUGUAAAGCUCUAUCAGCAGGGAAGAUGAUGACGGUACCUGACUAAGAAGCCCCGGCUAACUACGUG